Molecule: ribosomal RNA, 325 nt
Filed under: Escherichia coli
Lineage: Bacteria; Pseudomonadati; Pseudomonadota; Gammaproteobacteria; Enterobacterales; Enterobacteriaceae
Description: bacterial SSU rRNA
Rfam family: Bacterial small subunit ribosomal RNA
Source: RNAcentral
CGUGCUGCAAUGGCGUAUACAAAGGGAAGCGCCCUGGGGAGAGCAAGCAGACCUCAUAAAGUGCGUCGUAGUCCGGAUUGGAGUCUGCAACUCGACUCCAUGAAGUCGGAAUCGCUAGUAAUCGUGGAUCAGAAUGCCACGGUGAAUACGUUCCCGGGCCUUGUACACACCGCCCGUCACACCAUGGGAGUGGGUUGCAAAAGAAGUAGGUAGCUUAACCUUCGGGAGGGCGCUUACCACUUUGUGAUUCAUGACUGGGGUGAAGUCGUAACAAGGUAACCGUAGGGGAACCUGCGGUUGGAUCACCUCCUUACCUUAAAGAAGC